Molecule: ribosomal RNA, 273 nt
Filed under: uncultured bacterium
Lineage: Bacteria
Description: partial 16S ribosomal RNA
Rfam family: Bacterial small subunit ribosomal RNA
Source: RNAcentral
UACGUAGGAGGCAAGCGUUGUCCGGAUUUACUGGGCGUAAAGAGCGUGUAGGCGGUUUGGUAAGUCUGCUGUGAAAGCUCUCGGCUUAACCGGGAGAGGUCGGUGGAAACUACCAGACUUGAGGACGGUAGAGGGGGGUGGAAUUCCCGGUGUAGUGGUGAAAUGCGUAGAGAUCGGGAGGAACACCAGUGGCGAAGGCGGCCCCCUGGGCCGCUCCUGACGCUGAGACGCGAAGGCCAGGGUAGCGAACGGGAUUAGAAACCCCCGUAGUCC